GAAUUCUCAACCAUGUCUCAUGACGAGGCUUGGCUUGGACUUGGGGGCUGCUGGCGGCCAAGGUCGUCGACUCCCCUGAAAAGUAUUAGCAAAGGGCAGCAAGCCUGUGAUGUGGCACGGCCUUUUCGACGUGAUAGUGAUCGUCGCCGCUGGAGCGUCCGGACGAGCGACACACGAAGUCUGUUUGCUUCCAAUUCCCCUUUGACUUGGGACUUUCGAGCCAAGCCUAGCUACUAGUCACCGACGAACGCAGGCAAGGCUUUUUCGUCCCUCGUCUUCAUCGACG
RNAcentral lists this unclassified non-coding RNA (286 nucleotides) under uncultured Boletaceae. RNAcentral describes it as "sequence contains ITS2". Lineage: Eukaryota; Fungi; Basidiomycota; Agaricomycetes; Boletales; Boletaceae. The record is from RNAcentral.